UUCCAGGUGGCUCAGUGGUAAAGAAUCUGCCUGCCAAGCAGAUGCAGGUUCAAUCCCUGGGUUGGAAA
RNAcentral lists this transfer RNA (68 nucleotides) under Bos taurus (domestic cattle). It matches the Rfam family "tRNA". From Rfam's summary of the family: Transfer RNA (tRNA) molecules are approximately 80 nucleotides in length. Their secondary structure includes four short double-helical elements and three loops (D, anti-codon, and T loops). RNAcentral also lists the same sequence under 5 other names. Lineage: Eukaryota; Metazoa; Chordata; Mammalia; Artiodactyla; Bovidae. The record is from Rfam by way of RNAcentral.